UACAGAGACUGCAAGCGUUAUUCGGAUUCACUGGGCGUAAAGGGUGCGCAGGCGGUCGGGUGUGUCAGAUGUGAAAUCCCGAGGCUCAACCUCGGAACUGCGUCUGAAACUACUCGACUAGAGUACUGGAGAGGGUAACGGAAUUCACGGUGUAGCAGUGAAAUGCGUAGAUAUCGUGAGGAACACCAGUGGCGAAGGCGGCAUCCUGGACCAUAACUGACGCUGAGGCGCGAAAGCUAGGGGAGCAAACGGG
Molecule: ribosomal RNA, 253 nt
Filed under: uncultured bacterium
Lineage: Bacteria
Description: partial 16S ribosomal RNA
Rfam family: Bacterial small subunit ribosomal RNA
Source: RNAcentral